This 265-nucleotide ribosomal RNA is filed under the name uncultured bacterium. Its description in RNAcentral is "partial 16S ribosomal RNA". It matches the Rfam family "Bacterial small subunit ribosomal RNA", at positions 793 to 1055 of the family's 1533-position model. The record is from RNAcentral.
GUCCUAGCUGUAAACGAUGGGCACUAGGUGUGGGGGGAUCGACCCCUUCCGUGCCGAAGUUAACGCAUUAAGUGCCCCGCCUGGGGAGUACGACCGCAAGGUUGAAACUCAAAGGAAUUGACGGGGGCCCGCACAAGCGGUGGAGCAUGUGGUUUAAUUCGAUGAUACGCGAAGAACCUUACCGGGGCUUGACAUGCAGCAGAAGUUUCGUGGAAACACGUUCGUCCCUCACGGGACUGUUGCACAGGUGCUGCAUGGCUGUCGU